This 75-nucleotide transfer RNA is filed under the name Tenacibaculum sp. KUL152. Its description in RNAcentral is "tRNA-Ile". It matches the Rfam family "tRNA". From Rfam's summary of the family: Transfer RNA (tRNA) molecules are approximately 80 nucleotides in length. Their secondary structure includes four short double-helical elements and three loops (D, anti-codon, and T loops). Further hydrogen bonds mediate the characteristic L-shaped molecular structure. tRNAs have two regions of fundamental functional importance: the anti-codon, which is responsible for specific mRNA codon recognition, and the 3' end, to which the tRNAs corresponding amino acid is attached (by aminoacyl-tRNA synthetases). tRNAs cope with the degeneracy of the genetic code in two manners: having more than one tRNA (with a specific anti-codon) for a particular amino acid; and 'wobble' base-pairing, i.e. permitting non-standard base-pairing at the 3rd anti-codon position. The record is from RNAcentral. Lineage: Bacteria; Pseudomonadati; Bacteroidota; Flavobacteriia; Flavobacteriales; Flavobacteriaceae.
AGUCUUGUAGCUCAGCUGGUUAGAGCGCUACACUGAUAAUGUAGAGGUCGGCAGUUCGAGUCUGCCCAAGACUAC